CCUACGGGCGGCAGCAGUCGAGAAUCAUUCACAAUGGGGGAAACCCUGAUGGUGCGACGCCGCGUGGGUGAAGGAGCGUUUCGGCGCGUAAAGCCCUAUCGGCAGGGAAGAAGAUGACGGUACCUGACCAAGAAGCCCCGGCUAACUACGUGCCAGCAGCCGCGGUAAUACGUAGGGGGCAAGCGUUAUCCGGAUUUACUGGGGGGAAAGGGGGCGCAGACGGCAAUGCAAGCCAGGAGUGAAAGCCCGGGGCCCAACCCCGGGACUGCGCUUGGAACUGCAUGGCUGGAGUACAGGAGGGGCAGGCGGAAUGCCUAGUGUAUCGGUGAAAUGCGUAGAUAUUAGGAGGAACCCCGGUGGCGAAGGCGGCCUCCUGGGCUGUGACUGACGUUGAGGCCUGCAGCCGUUGGG
Molecule: ribosomal RNA, 411 nt
Filed under: uncultured bacterium
Lineage: Bacteria
Description: partial 16S ribosomal RNA
Rfam family: Bacterial small subunit ribosomal RNA
Source: RNAcentral